RNAcentral lists this ribosomal RNA (825 nucleotides) under Triticum aestivum (bread wheat). RNAcentral's name for it is "partial small subunit ribosomal RNA". Lineage: Eukaryota; Viridiplantae; Streptophyta; Magnoliopsida; Poales; Poaceae. The record is from RNAcentral.
AUGCCGGCCGGCCGACGGCGCCGUAUAAUCCUUAAUCUCCCGAGUGUUGGGUGCCCACUUGGCACUUGCCCUCCUCGUAGGCUGUUCUCACGCAGAGAUUGCAUCGACGGUCAAGGUGGGAAUGAUGCAUUUUUUGUCAAUGGUUUCUCUAGUUGGAAUAAGAAAUACAGAUUGGAUACUCAUGUGGGUGAGGUUAAUAGCUAUCACAAUGUAGCUGCUAAAAGUGUCCUCAAGUAUGUAUCAAAAGAAGGCAAGAAAGAUUCGAAGAAAAGUGAAGCACGUGGUCUUCUAUCAUAUUUUGGAACCUUUGAUUUUGUGUUCUAUUUGCACAUGAUGUUCCAUAUAUUAGGGAGUGCCAACACUCUGUCACAAGCAUUGCAACAAAAGGAUCAAGAUAUCUUGAAUGCAAUGUCAUGUGUGAAGUCAACAAGGAAUGAUCUACAACAACUAAGAGAUAAUGGGUGGGAAUCACUUUGGGAGAAGUUUGAUGACAGAUUCAAUGAAGUAAAUUCUGCAUUGCUUAUUCACAUGGCUUCUUUCAACCCAAAAAACUCUUUCGCUGCUUUUAACUUGGAGAGUUUGUUGAAGCUAGCUGAGUUUUAUCCUGAGGAUUUCGAUUCAUCAAAAUUGAUGGAUCUUGGACAUGAACUUCGGAUUUACAUUGACAAUGUCCGAGCAGACCAAAGAUUUGCCAAUUUGGAUGGCAUUGUGGAUCUUGCUAAAAAGUUGGUGGAUACUAAGAAGCAUCUUGCUUUCCCUUUGGUGUAUCAACUUCUAAAGCUAGUGCUAAUUUUGCCGGUUGCCACAGCGUCAGUGGAGAGAUGA